UGAUUGAUGGUGCUUGCACCUGAUUGAUUUUGGUCGCCAACGAGUGGCGGACGGGUGAGUAACACGUAGGUAACCUGCCCAGAAGCGGGGGACAACAUUUGGAAACAGAUGCUAAUACCGCAUAACARCGUUGUUCGCAUGAACAACGCUUAAAAGAUGGCUUCUCGCUAUCACUUCUGGAUGGACCUGCGGUGCAUUAGCUUGUUGGUGGGGUAACGGCCUACCAAGGCGAUGAUGCAUAGCCGAGUUGAGAGACUGAUCGGCCACAAUGGGACUGAGACACGGCCCAUACUCCUACGGGAGGCAGCAGUAGGGAAUCUUCCACAAUGGGCGCAAGCCUGAUGGAGCAACACCGCGUGAGUGAAGAAGGGUUUCGGCUCGUAAAGCUCUGUUGUUAAAGAAGAACACGUAUGAGAGUAACUGUUCAURCGUUGACGGUAUUUAACCAGAAAGUCACGGCUAACUACGUGCCAGCAGCCGCGGUAAUACGUAGGUGGCAAGCGUUAUCCGGAUUUAUUGGGCGUAAAGAGAGUGCAGGCGGUUUUCUAAGUCUGAUGUGAAAGCCUUCGGCUUAACCGGAGAAGUGCAUCGGAAACUGGAUAACUUGAGUGCAGAAGAGGGUAGUGGAACUCCAUGUGUAGCGGUGGAAUGCGUAGAUAUAUGGAAGAACACCAGUGGCGAAGGCGGCUACCUGGUCUGCAACUGACGCUGAGACUCGAAAGCAUGGGUAGCGAACAGGAUUAGAUACCCUGGUAGUCCAUGCCGUAAACGAUGAGUGCUAGGUGUUGGAGGGUUUCCGCCCUUCAGUGCCGGAGCUAACGCAUUAAGCACUCCGCCUGGGGAGUACGACCGCAAGGUUGAAACUCAAAGGAAUUGACGGGGGCCCGCACAAGCGGUGGA
Molecule: ribosomal RNA, 900 nt
Filed under: Limosilactobacillus fermentum
Lineage: Bacteria; Bacillati; Bacillota; Bacilli; Lactobacillales; Lactobacillaceae
Description: bacterial SSU rRNA
Source: RNAcentral